GACGAACGCUGGCGGCGUGCUUAACACAUGCAAGUCGAACGGCAAGGCCCUGCUUUUGUGGGGUUCUCGAGUGGCGAACGGGUGCGUAACACGUGAGUAACCUGCCCUUGACUUUGGGAUAACUUCAGGAAACUGGGGCUAAUACCGGAUAGGAGCUCCUGCUGCAUGGUAGGGGUUGGAAAUUUUCGGCGGUUGGGGAUGGACGCGCGGCUUAUCAGCUUGUUGGUGGGGGAGUGGUUUACCAAGGCUUUGACGGGUAGCCGGCCUGAGAGGGUGACCGGGCACAUUGGGACUGAGAUAGGGCCCAGACGCCUACGGGAGGCAGCAGUGGGGAAUAUUGCACAAUGGGCGGAAGCCUGAUGCAGAAACGCCGCGUGCGGGAUGACGGCCUUUGGGUUGUAAACCGCUUUAGCCUGUGACGAAGCGUGAGUGACGGUAAUGGGUAAAGAAGCACCGGCUAACUACGUG
Molecule: ribosomal RNA, 468 nt
Filed under: uncultured bacterium
Lineage: Bacteria
Description: partial 16S ribosomal RNA
Rfam family: Bacterial small subunit ribosomal RNA
Source: RNAcentral